CAGCAGCCGCGGGAAUACGUAGGUGGCAAGCGUUGUCCGGAAUUAUUGGGCGUAAAGGGCUCGCAGGCGGUUUCUUAAGUCUGAUGUGAAAGCCCCCGGCUCAACCGGGGAGGGUCAUUGGAAACUGGGAAACUUGAGUGCAGAAGAGGAGAGUGGAAUUCCACGUGUAGCGGUGAAAUGCGUAGAGAUGUGGAGGAACACCAGUGGCGAAGGCGACUCUCUGGUCUGUAACUGGCGCUGAGGAGCGAAAGCGUGGGGAGCGAACAGGAUUAGAUACCCCCGUAGUCCCUGUCUCUUAUAC
Molecule: ribosomal RNA, 301 nt
Filed under: uncultured bacterium
Lineage: Bacteria
Description: partial 16S ribosomal RNA
Rfam family: Bacterial small subunit ribosomal RNA
Source: RNAcentral